This 138-nucleotide microRNA precursor is filed under the name Medicago truncatula (barrel medic). RNAcentral describes it as "miR5247 stem-loop (mtr-MIR5247)". The record is from miRBase by way of RNAcentral. Lineage: Eukaryota; Viridiplantae; Streptophyta; Magnoliopsida; Fabales; Fabaceae.
CGCAAUUAGAGCAGGAGCAAGCAUCUGAUGACGGAAAAAAGGGUAAAAAGAUGGAAAAGAAGAUGGAAAAAAGGGUAAUUCUUCAAUUCUAUCUGUUCUGUUUUUAGUUAGAUCUGUUCUUACCAAUGCAGUCUUCCA